This 2646-nucleotide long non-coding RNA is filed under the name Mus musculus (house mouse). RNAcentral's name for it is "long non-coding RNA chr2:120573308-120575954". The record is from RNAcentral. Lineage: Eukaryota; Metazoa; Chordata; Mammalia; Rodentia; Muridae.
AAUCUAAAUUAUGUUAUUUUGCCUGGUGACUUAUGAUCUAUAUCUGAAGUUCUGGCUUCUCUUUUUUUCAAAAAAAAUUAUUUUAUGUAUGAAUGCUCUAUCUGCAUACUAGAAGAGAGCAGCAGAUCCCAGUAUAGAUGGUUGUGAGCCACCAUGUGGUUGCUAGGAAUUCAAUGCAGGACCUCUGGAAGUGCAGACAGUGCUCUUAACCUCUGAGCCACCUCUCCAGCCCCUGAUUUAUUUCUUGAAUUCAUUUCUUACCAUUUCUCUUUGGAUUCUAGAAGUUAAACAAUGGGUAGCUAUGUUGAACAUAUACUUGUACAUUUAGAGCAGAGGUUCUCAACCUUAAUGCUGUGACCCUUUCAUACAGUUCCUUAUGUUGUGAUGACCUCCAACCAUAAAAUUAUUUCAUUGCUACUUCAUAACUGUAACUUUGUUACUGUUAUGAAUUAUAAUGUAAAUAUCUGAUAUGCAGGAUAUCACACAUGCAACCCCCAAGGGGUCUCAACCCAUUAAGUUGAAAACCACUGCUCUAGAGCUUAGAAUGAAGGCACUCAUGGCAUUGAAUGUCUCAUAUGAUUAAAGAUGAUUGACAAGGCUUCAUCUUACCUAAACUGUAUAUACCCAAACUAUCCAAGGUCUUAGCUGAUUCCAAGUUAGUUUCCUGAUUUUCCCUUCAAAUGUUCGAUACCAGGAGUCAGGGCCGAGGGUAAAGAACAUGACUGAACAUGAGUAUCAGUGCUCUGGUGAGGCGUAGUAGUGUACACCUGUAAUCACAGCACUCAGGAAGCUACGGCAGGAGGAUUUGAAGUGCAGGGCUAGUCUGGACUACAUAGCAAGACUGUCCCAAAUCAUCAUCAUCAUCAAAUAAAUAAUAUUCACUUCAUUGAUAACUUGUACUUAUGGCUGGCACCGUGCUAAGCACUUAAUGUGCAUUUGAGUUUAGAAACAAUUCUGAGAAGAACUUUUAAUAAAUAAAAUGAAAUGUCACAUAAACAGGCUAAGUAAAUUGUGUGGCUGCUAUAAGUGGGAUAAGGUUCUUGUGCCGGUAGCGUGGUUAGGCUAGCUUGGAUUGCCAGUUUAGAAUAAAUUUCUCUUGUUAUGAGAUAGGAAGCUUAACUUUUUCCCCAUGCACUUAUGUUGGUUCUUCAGAUGGGUUUCACUCUAGUUUAGGCUGGAAUUGAAGGCUUCUUUUACCCCACAUUGACCUCAGCCUUGAAAUCUUCCUGCCUCAGGUUCACAAGUGUCAGGUAAGCAACAUCAGACUGGAUCUUGUUCCUCCUGGAAAAACGAGUGAAGGGCACUUGAUGUAGUGGGCCAUACCUAUAAUCCUCCCACUUGAUAGGCUGAGAUAGGAGGAUAGUUCACAAGGCUACUGUGAGUUUCAGAACAGCCUGUACUGCACAGUGAGGCCCUGCCUCAAAACAGAACAAAUAGAGAAAAACAAUGUUUUCAAAUUCUGAGGAAGUCGGUAUGAACCCAUGCCGCUGAGGAUCUGUCUGCCUCUGCCUCCCGAGCACUGGGACUAAAAGAGGGUACAUCACCACAUCUUGUUGAGAUCUACCUAUUUUUAAGAUUUCAUAUAGAUUUGUAAGGCAUCAUGGCACAUGUGAGUUCAAGCCCAGCCUGGUUCACAUAUUGAGCUCUAGGCCAGCCAGGUCUGCAUAGGGAGAUCCUGUCUCAAAAUAAAACAUCUCAUAUAAAUGAUAUUAUAUAAUAUAUGGCCUUUUAUGUUUGUUUUUAUUUAUUUAGUGUAAUGCCUUCAUUGCUAACACAUACUGUAGACUGUAAAUACUUCACUUCCUUUUUCGAAGUGAAUAAUCGCCCCUUAUAUGAUCAUUUGUCCCCUCCCACUACUUACCUGUUGUGAAUGAUGUAUAUACGUUUUACCUACAUUAAUGUAAAUACAUCUUGUGUUCAACAUCCAUGGAGAAGAGAAUAGUGCACCAGAUCCCUUGGAAUUAGAAUUAGAAACAGAUGUGAGCCAUUAUGUGGGGGCUGAGAACCAAACUCAGGCAAAACUCCCCCUCUUAAAUGUGGUUUCACUUUCUGCAGUGCCUGCAAAAGUAGCAAGUGAUCUUCAGCACUAAGCCAUCUAUCUCCAGCUUCAGCCUCUUAAAUGCUGGGAUUUGUAGGCAUAGACCACCACGGUCAGAUUCUUGGCUUCUAAAUUUUCAAAGUGGUAGUCAGAGGCUAAUUAAAAGCCUCCUGGGGUAUGUGUUUGUCUAUGUAUUUGUGUCUGUCUCUCUGUCUCUGUGUUGAUGCUUGGGAUCAUAUUAGGGGACGUGGACAUGCUAGGCAAGCAACAUCUUCAGCUCUUAGCUGCUGUCUUUGUGGGUUUUGGUUUGCUUUUGAGUCUCACUAUGUAGACUAUCUGCCUCUAACUAAUGACUGAUCCUCCUGCUUUAACUUUCAGAGUGCUUUGGCUACUCUUUAAAAACAAAAUAAAACAAAACCUUUUUGGGGGCUGGAGAGAUGGCUCAGUGGUUAAGGGCACUGACUGCUCUUCCAGAGGUCCUGAGUUCAAUUCCUAGCAACCACAUGAUGGCUCAUAACCAUCUGUAAUGUGAUCCAAUGCCCUCUUCUGGUAGGUCUGAAAGCAGCUACAGUGUACUCAUAUAAAUGAAUCUUUAAAAAAACAAAACC